UACCAGCACCCCGAGUGGUUGGGACGAUUAUUGGGCCUAAAGCAUCCGUAGCCGGUCCUACAAGUCUUCCGUUAAAUCCACCUGCUUAACAGAUGGGCUGCGGAAGAUACUAUAGGGCUAGGAGGCGGGAGAGGCAAGCGGUACUCAGUGGGUAGGGGUAAAAUCCUCUGAUCCAUUGAGGACCACCAGUGGCGAAGGCGGCUUGCCAGAACGCGCUCGACGGUGAGGGAUGAAAGCUGGGGGAGCAAACCGG
This 253-nucleotide ribosomal RNA is filed under the name uncultured bacterium. Its description in RNAcentral is "partial 16S ribosomal RNA". It matches the Rfam family "Archaeal small subunit ribosomal RNA", at positions 474 to 727 of the family's 1478-position model. The record is from RNAcentral.